UCCAGACUCCUACGGGAGGCAGCAGUGGGGAAUAUUGGACAAUGGGGGGAACCCUGAUGCAGCGACGCCGCGUGAGUGAAGAAGUAUUUCGGUAUGUAAAGCUCUAUCAGCAGGGAAGAAAUAGCGACCUUUGGGUCGCCAGACGGUACCUGACUAAGAAGCCCCGGCUAACUACGUGCCAGCAGCCGCGGUAAUAUGUAGGGGGCAAGCGUUAUCCGGAUUUACUGGGUGUAAAGGGAGCGUAGACGGCAGCACAAGUCUGAAGUGAAAUGCCGGGGCUUAACCCCGGAACUGCUUUGGAAACUGUGCAGCUAGAGUGCAGGAGAGGUAAGUGGAAUUCCUAGUGUAGCGGUGAAAUGCGUAGAUAUUAGGAGGAACACCAGUGGCGAAGGCGGCUUACUGGACUGUAACUGACGUUGAGGCUCGAAAGCGUGGGGAGCAAACAGGAUUAGAUCCCCUGGUA
This 463-nucleotide ribosomal RNA is filed under the name uncultured bacterium. RNAcentral's name for it is "bacterial SSU rRNA". It matches the Rfam family "Bacterial small subunit ribosomal RNA", at positions 330 to 792 of the family's 1533-position model. The record is from RNAcentral.